This 331-nucleotide ribosomal RNA is filed under the name uncultured eukaryote. RNAcentral's name for it is "partial 18S ribosomal RNA". It matches the Rfam family "Eukaryotic small subunit ribosomal RNA", at positions 1470 to 1796 of the family's 1831-position model. The record is from RNAcentral.
CCCUUAGAUGUUCUGGGCCGCACGCGCGCUACACUGACAGAGCCAGCGAGUUCUUUUUCCUUGGCCGGAAGGUCAUGGGUAAUCUUGUGAAACUCUGUCGUGCUGGGGAUAGAGCAUUGCAAUUAUUGCUCUUCAACGAGGAAUUCCUAGUAAGCGUGAGUCAUCAGCUCGCGUUGAUUACGUCCCUGCCCUUUGUACACACCGCCCGUCGCUACUACCGAUUGAAUGGCUUAGUGAGGCCUUCGGAUUGACUUUGGGGAGUGGGCAACCGCACCCCGUUGUUGAGAAGUUGGUCAAACUUGGUCAUUUAGAGGAAGUAAAAGUCGUAACA